This 492-nucleotide ribosomal RNA is filed under the name uncultured bacterium. RNAcentral describes it as "partial 16S ribosomal RNA". It matches the Rfam family "Bacterial small subunit ribosomal RNA", at positions 29 to 507 of the family's 1533-position model. The record is from RNAcentral.
AGUGAACGCUGGCGGUAGGCCUAGCACAUGCAAGUCGAACGGCAGCACAGUAAGAGCUUGCUCUUACGGGUGGCGAGUGGCGGACGGAUGAGGAAUACAUCGGAAUCUACUUUUUCGUGGGGGAUAACGUAGGGAAACUUACGCUAAUACCGCAUACGACCUACGGGUGAAAGCAGGGGAUCUUCGGACCUUGCGCGAUUGAAUGAGCCGAUGUCGGAUUAGCUAGUUGGCGGGGUAAAGGCCCACCAAGGCGACGAUCCGUAGCUGGUCUGAGAGGAUGAUCAGCCACACUGGAACUGAGACACGGUCCAGACUCCUACGGGAGGCAGCAGUGGGGAAUAUUGGACAAUGGGCGCAAGCCUGAUCCAGCCAUACCGCGUGGGUGAAGAAGGCCUUCGGGUUGUAAAGCCCUUUUGUUGGGAAAGAAAAGCAGCAGGUUAAUACCCCGCUGUUCUGACGGUACCCAAAGAAUAAGCACCGGCUAACUUCGUG